RNAcentral lists this ribosomal RNA (835 nucleotides) under uncultured organism. RNAcentral's name for it is "SSU rRNA". It matches the Rfam family "Bacterial small subunit ribosomal RNA", at positions 29 to 857 of the family's 1533-position model. The record is from RNAcentral.
AUGAACGCUAGCUACAGGCUUAACACAUGCAAGUCGAGGGUUAGCAUCAUCAAAGCUUGCUUUGAUGGAUGGCGACCGGCGCACGGGUGAGUAACACGUAUCCAACCUGCCGACAACACUGGGAUAGCCUUUCGAAAGAAAGAUUAAUACCGGAUGGUAUAGUUUUCCCGCAUGGGAUGAUUAUUAAAGAAUUUCGGUUGUCGAUGGGGAUGCGUUCCAUUAGGCAGUUGGCGGGGUAACGGCCCACCAAACCUACGAUGGAUAGGGGUUCUGAGAGGAAGGUCCCCCACAUUGGAACUGAGACACGGUCCAAAUUCCUACGGGAGGCAGCAGUGAGGAAUAUUGGUCAAUGGACGAGAGUCUGAACCAGCCAAGUAGCGUGAAGGAUGACUGCCCUAUGGGUUGUAAACUUCUUUUAUACGGGAAUAAAGUGAGCCACGUGUGGUUUUUUGUAUGUACCGUAUGAAUAAGGAUCGGCUAACUCCGUGCCAGCAGCCGCGGUAAUACGGAGGAUCCGAGCGUUAUCCGGAUUUAUUGGGUUUAAAGGGAGCGUAGGCGGGUUGUUAAGUCAGUUGUGAAAGUUUGCGGCUCAACCGUAAAAUUGCAGUUGAUACUGGCGACCUUGAGUGCAACAGAGGUAGGCGGAAUUCGUGGUGUAGCGGUGAAAUGCUUAGAUAUCACGAAGAACUCCGAUUGCGAAGGCAGCUUACUGGAUUGUAACUGACGCUGAUGCUCGAAAGUGUGGGUAUCAAACAGGAUUAGAUACCCUGGUAGUCCACACAGUAAACGAUGAAUACUCGCUGUUGGCGAUAUACAGUCAGCGGCCAAGCGAAAG